Molecule: ribosomal RNA, 505 nt
Filed under: uncultured Lachnospiraceae bacterium
Lineage: Bacteria; Bacillati; Bacillota; Clostridia; Lachnospirales; Lachnospiraceae
Description: bacterial SSU rRNA
Rfam family: Bacterial small subunit ribosomal RNA
Source: RNAcentral
AGAGUUUGAUCCUGGCUCAGGAUGAACGCUGGCGGCGUGCCUAACGCAUGCAAGUCGAACGGAUCCAUAUUGAAACCUAGUGAUGUAUGGAUUAGUGGCGGACGGGUGAGUAACGCGUGGAUAACCUGCCGUAUACAGGGGGAUAACACUUAGAAAUAGGUGCUAAUACCGCAUAAGCGCACGGUUCCGCAUGGAACAGUGUGAAAAACUCCGGUGGUAUACGAUGGAUCCGCGUCUGAUUAGCCAGUUGGCGGGGUAACGGCCCACCAAAGCGACGAUCAGUAGCCGGCCUGAGAGGGUGAACGGCCACAUUGGGACUGAGACACGGCCCAAACUCCUACGGGAGGCAGCAGUGGGGAAUAUUGCACAAUGGGGGAAACCCUGAUGCAGCGACGCCGCGUGAGUGAAGAAGUAUUUCGGUACGUAAAGCUCUAUCAGCAGGGAAGAAAGAAAGUCCUUUGGACUUUGGACGGUACCUGACCAAGAAGCCCCGGCUAACUACGUG